UUACAUCAGCUACUGUUAUUGUCAUGUUGUCAUUAUCUGCUAAGAAUAGAAAACUAUCAUACAUAAUGUGAGCUGCAAAGAAUAACUAAAAACACUAGCACUACAAACAGAACAAAGAGGGCAGCUGUCACGCUUUUUCUAAAGUAGAACCCAGAAGCAGACCAGGACAAGGAGAGUAGGACGAAGGUGAGUAUUUAUUUACAAGUUUAAAUGUAGAGGUAGAAAGAUCCAGGUGGUGGAGCGGGCAGCGGAGGUGAGUUGAUGGGAGUGAAUAGGCAGAUCCAAGGGAGUAACAAAAGCCACCGACGACCAGGCAGGAAUGGGGUGAGUGUUCCGGGUGAAUUACUGUAGACAGAACAAACGGAGGUAAGUUCAAGGCAAGCAAGACGUACAAAACAACAAAACAAACUAUCAAACUGGAGGCUGAUACGCUGGCACAACAUACUGUUCAUGGCUAACGAUCCGGCAGCUAUGAGUUUUUAAAAAUUAUAAUAGAGGACUAAUAUUAUUUCAGUGUCGAUAAGGGAAAUCCUGUAUAAAAUGAAAACAUGUCAGCCAGACAACCCAGUGUAUGAAUCAAAUGUAUUUGCAUAUGAAUGGAGGGGAAAUUGGCUGACUUUGUGAUCUGUAAGGUAAGUAACAAUGUGGGGGAGGGGGCAUUGAAAUCGUAGUAUUUUUUUUACCCUGAUGCCUGUUUAUUCAUAAAAAGCAGAAGAUGGUAAAUACCAUUAAUCGCAAUGGUUAGCCUAUGCAAAUUAACUCAAAUGAGCUGACAACGUUGCUAGCUAGUUUACAUACGGUGUAGAUAGCUAGCUAAGUUAAUUACAUUUGAACAGCUACCUAACUUCAUAUUAGCUAGCUAUCUUGAUAUAUUUAACACUGUAAAAUACAUGUGUGGGUAGCUAGCUAACAGCCAUGGAGGAGGGUGAAGAGAGUAGGCUCUUUGUGUAGUUCCAGUCCUUAGAAGUGAGAACAGAGAACAUCCUAUUCAGUGCUGUCUAAUUUGAGUAUAAUGAAGUCUGUUUCUCGUGAGGUUUUCUGUCCUCAGAUACAGAGAGCUGUGAAAGCCUGUCUGCAGAUGAAGAUGUCCCAAUGAAGAGCAGUGGUUCUUAGUCCUGGUCCUGAGAACUCAAAGGGGUGCAAUUUUUUUUUUGCCUUAGCGCUACACAUCUGAUUCAAAUGAUCAAGUCAUCAUCAAGCUUCAAGUGGUAUUUAUGUAUUCAUUUGUGACGCUAUCCUUGAUAUGAUCCUGCCAUUGUCACAUGCUACACAUGCACAUGUAUCUAUCUACCCAAUGUUAUCAUGAUUUGUUAUAAGGGAUAUUAUACUUUAGUAAUUCACAAUGAUCUGGUAAUGUAAAAGUCUAAUGAAAUGGUCUUCUAUUGUUUGUCCUCGUGUGUCUGUUUUUCAGCAUAAAGUACUCUGUAGCCACUUAGUGUGGACACCAGGUGAGACUACACACACACACACAGAUUCCUGUUGAACACAGUCUCUUUAAGUACCUUAUUUUCUCUCCUUCACUUUGUCCCUCUCCCCCCUUCUCCCUAUAUCCUCUAGGUUAUAUCAUCUGUGUUGGUGAACCCCUCCCGUAUCUGAACUGGCUGACACAGAGGGCACAGCAUGAUCAUAGUUAUGUUUUGAUGUGAGAGAGGAAGCCAGUCCCGUCAUCACCACCGCACCCGCUCUUAAGAUAACCUUUGGGCCAACUGGGGGCCAAAGGCUGGUUAGGAGACACCGCUAGAGACACUAUGUAAUUGUGUUGAACUGAGAGAAUAUUAGGGUAGCACUGUAAUUCAUUCAUCAUAUGCUGUCUUCCCUGCUCCUCUUACAUCUUUCCCUUUCUGUCUUCUACACCUCUCUCCCCACCUCCUUUCUUCCUCUUAUUUUAUAAUGCAUACCAUAUGUGCAUUGAAGUACAGAUUGAACUUGUAUUUAUAAUAAAAUAUAACAUUUAUAAUAUUUAUAAUGCAUGUAUUAUGUAUUUAUGACAUCUGGAUAAUGAACUUCUUUCAAUAAAGCAUGUCACAUUCUCCA
Long non-coding RNA from Salvelinus fontinalis (brook trout), 2034 nucleotides. RefSeq lists it as uncharacterized. The record is from RefSeq and is a predicted model, not a curated record. The transcript has 2 exons. NCBI's taxonomy places the organism in Eukaryota, Metazoa, Chordata, Actinopteri, Salmoniformes, Salmonidae.